GAGAAGUCCGUUCAUACGGUGGGCCCUUCCCUGUGGGCCUUCCAUAGCAUACCCACGCCAGAGUAAAUUGCAGCCUCGAACCAUCGCCCAGCCUCCUUUUCUGUGGGCUGUGAGCACUAAAGGGGAUUGUACAGUG
This is a small nucleolar RNA of Artibeus jamaicensis (Jamaican fruit-eating bat), 136 nucleotides long. RefSeq annotates it as small nucleolar RNA SNORA42/SNORA80 family. The transcript has a single exon. The record is from RefSeq and is a predicted model, not a curated record. NCBI's taxonomy places the organism in Eukaryota, Metazoa, Chordata, Mammalia, Chiroptera, Phyllostomidae.